GGGGAUUUGGCUCAGUGGUAGAGCAUUUGCCUAGCAACCACAAGGCCCUGGGUUCGGUCCCCAGCUCCG
Molecule: non-coding RNA, 69 nt
Organism: Rattus norvegicus (Norway rat)
Lineage: Eukaryota; Metazoa; Chordata; Mammalia; Rodentia; Muridae
Source: Rfam